RNAcentral lists this ribosomal RNA (641 nucleotides) under Gordonia sp. I13A-01695. Its description in RNAcentral is "bacterial SSU rRNA". It matches the Rfam family "Bacterial small subunit ribosomal RNA", at positions 96 to 751 of the family's 1533-position model. Lineage: Bacteria; Bacillati; Actinomycetota; Actinomycetes; Mycobacteriales; Gordoniaceae. The record is from RNAcentral.
UGGCGAACGGGUGAGUAACACGUGGGUGAUCUGCCCUGCACUCUGGGAUAAGCCUGGGAAACUGGGUCUAAUACCGGAUAUGACCAACUGUCGCAUGGUGGUUGGUGGAAAGCUUUUGCGGUGUGGGAUGGGCCCGCGGCCUAUCAGCUUGUUGGUGGGGUAAUGGCCUACCAAGGCGACGACGGGUAGCCGACCUGAGAGGGUGAUCGGCCACACUGGGACUGAGACACGGCCCAGACUCCUACGGGAGGCAGCAGUGGGGAAUAUUGCACAAUGGGCGCAAGCCUGAUGCAGCGACGCCGCGUGAGGGAUGACGGCCUUCGGGUUGUAAACCUCUUUCACCAGGGACGAAGCGUGAGUGACGGUACCUGGAGAAGAAGCACCGGCCAACUACGUGCCAGCAGCCGCGGUAAUACGUAGGGUGCGAGCGUUGUCCGGAAUUACUGGGCGUAAAGAGCUCGUAGGCGGUUUGUCGCGUCGUCUGUGAAAUUCUGCAACUCAAUUGCAGGCGUGCAGGCGAUACGGGCAGACUUGAGUACUACAGGGGAGACUGGAAUUCCUGGUGUAGCGGUGAAAUGCGCAGAUAUCAGGAGGAACACCGGUGGCGAAGGCGGGUCUCUGGGUAGUAACUGACGCUGAGG